GACGAACGCUGGCGGCGUGCUUAGCACAUGCAAGUCGAACGGAAAGGCCCUGCUUUUGUGGGGUGCUCGAGUGGCGAACGGGUGAGUAACACGUGAGUAACCUGCCCUUGACUUUGGGAUAACUUCAGGAAACUGGGGCUAAUACCGGAUAGGAGCUCCUGCUGCAUGGUGGGGGUUGGAAAGUUUCGGCGGUUGGGGAUGGACUCGCGGCUUAUCAGCUUGUUGGUGGGGUAGUGGCUUACCAAGGCUUUGACGGGUAGCCGGCCUGAGAGGGUGACCGGCCACAUUGGGAAUGAGAUACGGCCCAGACUCCUACGGGAGGCAGCAGUGGGGAAUAUUGCACAAUGGGCGGAAGCCUGAUGCAGCAACGCCGCGUGCGGGAUGACGGCCUUCGGGUUGUAAACCGCUUUCGCCUGUGACGAAGCGUGAGUGACGGUAAUGGGUAAAGAAGCACCGGCUAACUACGUG
RNAcentral lists this ribosomal RNA (468 nucleotides) under uncultured bacterium. Its description in RNAcentral is "partial 16S ribosomal RNA". It matches the Rfam family "Bacterial small subunit ribosomal RNA", at positions 28 to 507 of the family's 1533-position model. The record is from RNAcentral.